CGACGUGAGAAUCUGCCUUCAGGAUGGGGACAACAAUUGGAAACGAUUGCUAAUACCCGAUAUGACGAAAGUUGAAAGAUUUAUCGCCUGGAGAUGAGCUCGCGUCAGAUUAGCUAGAUGGUGUGGUAAAGGCGCACCAUGGCGACGAUCUGUAGCUGGUCUGAGAGGAUGAGCAGCCACACUGGGACUGAGACACGGCCCAG
This 203-nucleotide ribosomal RNA is filed under the name uncultured bacterium. Its description in RNAcentral is "partial 16S ribosomal RNA". It matches the Rfam family "Bacterial small subunit ribosomal RNA", at positions 113 to 334 of the family's 1533-position model. The record is from RNAcentral.